This 250-nucleotide ribosomal RNA is filed under the name uncultured bacterium. Its description in RNAcentral is "partial 16S ribosomal RNA". It matches the Rfam family "Archaeal small subunit ribosomal RNA", at positions 474 to 723 of the family's 1478-position model. The record is from RNAcentral.
CACCAGCGCCACAAGUGGGAGCCGCAAUUAUUGGGCCUAAAGCGUUCGUAGCUGGUCUGUUAAAUCUUCUGUGAAAUCAUCUGGCUUAACCAAAUGGCGUGCAGAAGACACUGAUAGACUUGGGACCGGGAGGAGUCAGAGGUAUUCCUUGGGGAGCGGUAAAAUGCUAUAAUCCUUGGAAGACCACCUGUGGCGAAGGCGUCUGACUAGAACGGAUCCGACAGUGAGGGACGAAAGCCAGGGGAGCAAA